GGGGAAUAUUGGACAAUGGGCGAAAGCCUGAUCCAGCCAUGCCGCGUGUGUGAAGAAGGUCUUCGGAUUGUAAAGCACUUUAAGUUGGGAGGAAGGGCAGUAAGUUAAUACCUUGCUGUUUUGACGUUACCAACAGAAUAAGCACCGGCUAACUUCGUGCCAGCAGCCACGGUAAUACGAAGGGUGCAAGCGUUAAUCGGAAUUACUGGGCGUAAAGCGCGCGUAGGUGGUUCAGCAAGUUGGAUGUGAAAGCCCCGGGCUCAACCUGGGAAUUGCAUCCAAAACUACUGAGCUAGAAUACGGUAGAGGGUGGUGGAAUUUCCUGUGUAGCGGUGAAAUGCGUAGAUAUAGGAAGGAACACCAGUGGCGAAGGCGACCACCUGGACUGAUACUGACACUGGGGUGCGAAAGCGUGGGGAGCAAAC
Molecule: ribosomal RNA, 425 nt
Filed under: uncultured bacterium
Lineage: Bacteria
Description: bacterial SSU rRNA
Rfam family: Bacterial small subunit ribosomal RNA
Source: RNAcentral